GAUGAACGCUGGCGGUAUGCUUAACACAUGCAAGUCGAACGGACUCUUCGGAGUUAGUGGCGGACGGGUGAGUAACGCGUGAGAAUCUGGCUUUGGGUUCGGGACAACCACUGGAAACGGCGGCUAAUACCGGAUGUGCCGAGAGGUAAAAGAGAAAUUGCCUGAAGAUGAGCUCGCGUCUGAUUAGCUAGUUGGUGAGGUAAAGGCUCACCAAGGCAGCGAUCAGUAGCUGGUCUGAGAGGAUGACCAGCCACACUGGGACUGAGACACGGCCCAGACUCCUACGGGAGGCAGCAGUGGGGAAUUUUCCGCAAUGGGCGAAAGCCUGACGGAGCAAUACCGCGUGAGGGAAGAAGGCUCUUGGGUUGUAAACCUCUUUUCUUAGGGAAGAACAAAAUGACGGUACCUAAGGAAUCAGCAUCGGCUAACUCCGUG
Molecule: ribosomal RNA, 435 nt
Filed under: uncultured bacterium
Lineage: Bacteria
Description: partial 16S ribosomal RNA
Rfam family: Bacterial small subunit ribosomal RNA
Source: RNAcentral